CCUACGGGUGGCUGCAGUGAGGAAUAUUGGUCAAUGGUCGGAAGCCUGAACCAGCCAAGCAGCGUGCAGGAUGACGGCCCUACGGAUUGUAAACUUCUUUUAUCCGGGAAUAACGCCCCUUACGUGUACCGCUUUGCAUGUACCGUAUGAAUCAGGACCGGCUAAUUCCGUGCCAGCAGCCGCGGUAAUACGGAAGGUCCGGGCGUUAUCCGGAUUUAUUGGGUUUAAAGGGAGCGUAGGCCGUAUGGUAAGCCUGCGGGGAAAUGCCCGGGCUCAACCCGGGCCCUGCAGUGGACACUGGCGUGCUUGAGUGCGAGGGAGGCAGGCGGAAUG
This 333-nucleotide ribosomal RNA is filed under the name uncultured bacterium. RNAcentral describes it as "partial 16S ribosomal RNA". It matches the Rfam family "Bacterial small subunit ribosomal RNA", at positions 338 to 668 of the family's 1533-position model. The record is from RNAcentral.